UUCAGGUCUGGGUUCUGGCUCAGUCAUUCAGAAACAUUGAUCUUCUUUUGCUGAAGCCGUUCCUUUGUUGAUGUGGACGUGUGCUUUG
Non-coding RNA from Pangasianodon gigas (Mekong giant catfish), 88 nucleotides. The record is from the annotation of a GenBank genome assembly. Lineage: Eukaryota; Metazoa; Chordata; Actinopteri; Siluriformes; Pangasiidae.